AAUGCAAGCUGUCUUAUCGUUCUUGUGCAUAAAAUUAUGUACAGGGAAGGAAAGACCGGGCAACAAAGAGCACCGUACUUCCAAACGGGAAGGUCCAGGGCAUAAUUUAUGUACUGGAACAGAAAGUGCCACAGAAAACAAACCGCCUCGCACACAACUUUCAUUUAAUUCUAAAAUUUGUGGAAUACUAUUAUUUCUAUCGAAUUAGAAAGUUAAAUGAAAGUUGUGUGAGGGGUAAGGGUGAAAAGGUGAGGUAAGAGCUCACCGCCCCGAUAGUGAUAUCGGGGGCAAGGUAAACCUUACGGGUUGAAAGGUCAAAUAGAUCCUUCUUUUCAGCAUCUGUUUCAGGUGUUGGACAAGAACAGCUCAUUCGAGUACCGUUUUACGGUAAAGAGGGAAGGGUAGACCGAUUGAUCCCGACAGUGAUGUCGGGGCUAGAUAGAUGAUAAGACCUCCCACAUGUAGUUUAUGUGAGGGAGUGACAGAACCCGGCUUAUAGGCUUGCAUUUUUU
This 512-nucleotide RNase P RNA is filed under the name Bacteroidota bacterium. Its description in RNAcentral is "Bacteroidetes bacterium RNase P RNA component class A". It matches the Rfam family "Bacterial RNase P class A". From Rfam's summary of the family: Ribonuclease P (RNase P) is a ubiquitous endoribonuclease, found in archaea, bacteria and eukarya as well as chloroplasts and mitochondria. Its best characterised activity is the generation of mature 5'-ends of tRNAs by cleaving the 5'-leader elements of precursor-tRNAs. Lineage: Bacteria; Pseudomonadati; Bacteroidota. The record is from RNAcentral.